AGCAUAACAACUAUACCUCAUUCUCAUACCCUUUGCAAAUUAGUUAUUUGCACAAAAUUUCAUUCAUAACAUUUACAUAAGCCAAACAUUAACCAAAAUAGCACAAGAGCUUAUACAUGCCAUAUAAUCUGAAUUUAACGUUUCAAAAACUACCGAGAUAAACUGAAUGGUGUGACUUGAGUGUCAAUCCAAUCGUCCAACCUUCUGAAAAUCUACAAUGACAUUACACAAUACAAGUAAGCUUAAUGAAGCUUAGUAAGUUCGACGAGAUAAACAAAAAUCUUACCGAACUAAUUAUAAUAAAUCAAAUAAUAAAAAUCAUCCAAGACAACUCACUGUCAUUCACAACUUUAAUUGAUAAAUACAUCCGUAUUCAAAUCAAUACAAAAAUAAAUAACAUGUCUUUCAAAUUCAUUAAAUAAAUCACCUUAUCGAGAUUUUUCCAAUCGAAGAAUGACUUACGGGUACGAUUGCAUUGUCAACAGAAGCUCAUAAGAGCUGGUCUUCCCGAACACGCCAACAUAAGCUCGAAAGCUGAAUAGAAGCUCGUAAGAGCUGAUCCACCCAAUCACGCCAAAUAGAAAUUAAAACACGAGAGUUCGCAACAAAUGUUGAACCCCGGUUUACUUGGGUAAAAUGUUGAUAUCUCCCUCCAAUACCAUCUCCACUCCAAACCCCCGUCAUACACAAAAUCAGAAAUGUACUCAAAUCCUACGUUCAAUUCAAACAAAAUAUCCAAUUCAAUAUUAUAAUUCAAACAAUAAUUCAUUUCCAAAAAUAGCAUAUAUGCAUAAUACAAAUCAUACAAAUGUUAAAUUUUAACCGUACGAACUUACCUAAACUGAAUUGUAGUAAUUCCAAAAGCUCAGGGACUAUUAUGCUAUUUUUUAUUUUCCAUAAGUAUCUACGGGAUCUUGAUCUAAAAUAUAAAAUUACUCAUUUAUUAGCACAUAUUUCAUUUCCAAUCCAUUUUACAAUUAAUACCCUUUUAUUUUUUGAAUUUAUGCAAUUACCCUAAACUUUUACAAUUUUUCAAUUUAAUCCCUUAGUUAGUUAAUCUAUCAAAUUAACUAAUUUUCUAAAAUAAAUAAUCUAUCCAAAUAUUCUAGGCCCUCAUACAUCCCCUAAUAAAUCUAAAAUUCACUGUCAAACCCUAAUAUUUUGACAUUUUCACAAUUUAAUCCUAAAAUCAAUAUUUAACAAAAAUCACUUUACAAAAUCAUCACACAACACAAUAAAAACUCCAAAUCCAUGCUAUUCAUAAAAAAAUCUAAUAUUUAUCAAUUGAAACUUUCAAAAAUUUUAACAGAAUCAGAAACGAAGGUACGAGUUAGCUGGACCUAGUUGCAACGAUCUCAAAAACAUAAAAAUUACAAGAAGCGAGUAAGAAUUGAACUCACAUGGAAGCUCCUAUGCUCAACCAAUUCUCCAAGCUAUUUCUAUGGUGUUUCGGCAGUGACAAAAGAAGAAAAUGAAGAGGAAAAGCUAUUUCUU
RNAcentral lists this long non-coding RNA (1494 nucleotides) under Gossypium raimondii (Peruvian cotton). Its description in RNAcentral is "long non-coding RNA (GRAI_LNC006689)". The record is from RNAcentral. Lineage: Eukaryota; Viridiplantae; Streptophyta; Magnoliopsida; Malvales; Malvaceae.